This 253-nucleotide ribosomal RNA is filed under the name uncultured bacterium. RNAcentral describes it as "partial 16S ribosomal RNA". It matches the Rfam family "Bacterial small subunit ribosomal RNA", at positions 524 to 776 of the family's 1533-position model. The record is from RNAcentral.
UACGUAGGGACCGAGCGUUGUCCGGAUUUAUUGGGCGUAAAGAGCGUGUAGGCGGCCAUACAGGUCAGCUGUGAAAACUCGAGGCUCAACCUCGAGACGUCGGUUGAAACCGUAUGGCUAGAGUCCGGAAGAGGAGAGUGGAAUUCCCGGUGUAGCGGUGAAAUGCGCAGAUAUCGGGAAGAACACCUAUGGCGAAGGCAGCUCUCUGGGACGGUACUGACGCUGAGACGCGAAAGCGUGGGGAGCAAACAGG